UUUUCUUAAAGGGAACGACGCGUGAAUAAAACGUUUAGAUUUAAGAUGAAAAUUAAAAAAAUGAAGGUAAGCUGCAAACCGGUAGAAUAUUACAGAGAAGAGAAGAGAGGAAAAGAAAAGUGAACAAACUUUAACACCUUUUCAGGUGUGUGUGCAUUGUGCAGAACGGCGGCCACAGGUGGUGAGGAGAAUAAGAAGAAGAAGAAGAAGAUGAAGAAGAAGAAGAAGAAGAAGAAGAAGAAGAAGAAGAAGAAGAAGAAGAUGACUCAAACCUCAACAAGAUCCUUGAAUCUCCAGACGAGGGUUCGUCCUGCUCCUGAUCCUGAACUAGAACCAACUGGACCGGUCACGUUGGAGGGAUGAAUUUGGAAAGGUGGCACUGCGACACAUGGACAUCACAAGAGCAGCUGCUGGAGGAAUGGACCAGUCGCUCCGAGCUGCUUCAACAUGGUGGGUUUCCUACAGUUUGCAUAUUGUGAAUCAUUUUCAUCCCCACCACAAGUAGUUAAUUUUUUAAGCAAUACAAUCUGAUGUAAGUCUGGGCAUGGCUGCGGCAGAUUUUCCCAACCCCCCUCUCUCCCUCUCUCUCCCUCCCUCUCUCUCUCUCUCUCUCUCUGAAUCCCUCCCCAGCACACACACACAUACACACACGCACACACACGCACAGUGCUCCAAAAUAUUUCUUUCCACCACGGUGGGGGCUUCCAGUGAGACUAUAAGGUGGCCAUGUUUGAUAGAUGUGUGUCGGGCUCUGCAAUGCAGGAAAGCGAGAGUUGUUGCGUGUGAUCCUGCAAAAGUGACAGUGACACCAGGGGGAGUGGGUCGGAUUCGUGACUGAU
Platichthys flesus (European flounder) is the source of this 839-nucleotide long non-coding RNA. RefSeq lists it as uncharacterized. The record is from RefSeq and is a predicted model, not a curated record. NCBI's taxonomy places the organism in Eukaryota, Metazoa, Chordata, Actinopteri, Pleuronectiformes, Pleuronectidae. The transcript is spliced from 4 exons.